Molecule: ribosomal RNA, 1193 nt
Filed under: Tagosodes pusanus
Lineage: Eukaryota; Metazoa; Arthropoda; Insecta; Hemiptera; Delphacidae
Description: SSU rRNA
Rfam family: Eukaryotic small subunit ribosomal RNA
Source: RNAcentral
CUUCGACGCCGGUUCACCGCCUGUCGGUGCCAACUGGCGUUUUGCGGGACGUCCUGUCGGUGGUGUGUCAGGGAUCUUAGUUGUGCUAGGCUCUGCUUAGUGCAGCUCUGGUUUCGGGCCACUUUCAUAAUCCCGCCGCGGUGCUCUUAAUCGAGUGUCGAGGCGGGCCGGCACGUUUACUUUGAACAAAUUAGAGUGCUUCAAGCAGGCUUGUCACGCCUGUAUACUGUGUGCAUGGAAUAAUGGAAUAGGACCUCGGUUCUAUUUUGUUGGUUUCCGGAAUCUGAGGUAAUGAUCAAUGGGGACAGGCGGGGGCAUUCGUAUUGCGACGUUAGAGGUGAAAUUCUUGGAUCGUCGCAAGACGGACCGAAGCGAAAGCAUUUGCCAAGUAUGUUCCCGUCGAUCAAGAACGAAAGUUAGAGGUUCGAAGGCGAUCAGAUACCGCCCUAGUUCUAACCAUAAACAAUGCCUGCCAGCGAUCCGCCGGCGUCCCUCCGAUGACCCGGCGGGCAGCUUCCGGGAAACCAGAGCUUUUGGGUUCCGGGGGAAGUAUGGUUGCAAAGCUGAAACUUAAAGGAAUUGACGGAAGGGCACCACCAGGAGUGGAGCCUGCGGCUUAAUUUGACUCAACACGGGAAAACUCACCAGGCCCGGACACCGGAAGGAUUGACAGAUUGAUAGCUCUUUCUUGAUUCGGUGGGUGGUGGUGCAUGGCCGUUCUUAGUUGGUGGAGCGAUUUGUCUGGUUAAUUCCGAUAACGAACGAGACUCUAGCCUACUAACUAGACGUAUCUGGUAUCAGCAAUCGUGCUACCAGCGAUCAUAUCUCUUCUUAGAGGGACAGGCGGCUUCUAGCCGCACGAGACUGAGCAAUAACAGGUCUGUGAUGCCCUUAGAUGUCCUGGGCCGCACGCGCGCUACACUGAAGGAAUCAGCGUGUCUUCCCUGUCCGAAAGGACCGGGUAACCCGCUGAACCUCCUUCGUGCUUGGGAUUGGGGCUUGCAAUUGUUCCCCAUGAACGAGGAAUUCCCAGUAAGCGCGAGUCAUAAGCUCGCGUUGAUUACGUCCCUGCCCUUUGUACACACCGCCCGUCGCUACUACCGAUUGAAUGAUUUAGUGAGGUCUUCGGACCGGUGCGCGGAGGCGGUUCUCUGCUCCCGAUGUUGUCGGAAAGAUGACCAAACUUGAUCAUU